Molecule: long non-coding RNA, 733 nt
Filed under: Fukomys damarensis (Damara mole-rat)
Lineage: Eukaryota; Metazoa; Chordata; Mammalia; Rodentia; Bathyergidae
Description: lncRNA (ENSFDAG00000026969.1)
Source: RNAcentral
UCUUUUUGCAGAUAAGAAAGCAGAGUAUAAAGGCAUCAUGCCACUUCCUCCAUGGCACUCCUACUAGUAUGUGGGGGAGACGAGAACAGAGCUCCCGAGACUUAACCACCUCACCUGGGUGCCCCUCACUGCUGAGUGCCCUGGAGGGUCCAUGUCACAAUGAUAGGACUUUGUUUGAAGAUUUUAGAUUCCUUUUGAUGCCAGUGAGCUGAUCUGACAGAAGAAGACAGGAGCAACAACUCAGAUUAAAGCAGUGUGAUUCUGAAGCAUAAUUAUGGGAGACGAGGAGUUGCUGAGGAUGAUUAGGUAGCACUGGGGUGUGGCCCUGGCAGUGAACAUGAAGCCCAAAGGAAAAGGCCUGCUCAGCAGAGGAGGUCAAGAAAUUAUGAGUCUAGGGUGUUGGGUGGGGCAUCUUCAUAAAUACUGAAGUCACGUAUGGUAUGAAUCACCCAAGAUGAGACAGGAAACAGGGUGGAGAGAAGGGCUGCAGAGACUGGCGGUUUGCGCUGUAAGGCUACGAGUGAAUGAAAUACAGAGGAAGUUGUGAGACCAAACUGACCAUAGGCACGAAGACCAAGCUUUCGUGGAACCACCUGUGUCCUCCGUGAGUGGACUGGGGAAGCCAGGAGUUCCGUGUCAUGAAGGUGCCCACACUGGCAGCAUUCCCACAGAGCUUUUUAAAGGUUGAACAUGUGAAAUGAUGAAAGCCUUUAAGUUCCCUCUGAGACCCAAC